This 1519-nucleotide long non-coding RNA is filed under the name Vigna radiata. Its description in RNAcentral is "long non-coding RNA (VRAD_LNC000537)". The record is from RNAcentral. Lineage: Eukaryota; Viridiplantae; Streptophyta; Magnoliopsida; Fabales; Fabaceae.
UUUUUUCCUGGAAAAUAGACUCAAAUAUCUUUCAUGUGACAUAUAAAACGUAGCAUUUGGACCUCUGGUGUNGUUGNAGUUAUUAUUUUAAAAUCGAGUCCAGAGAGUGAAAAUGCUAAACCAAAUACUAGACUAAACAAAUAUCUAAGCACAGUUAAAUUAAAUUAAAUGCAACACUAAAUUAAAGAAAUUAAAAACAACUAAUCCUACCAUGCAAAUGAAUGCAAAACAAAGGGGUAAUUAAACAAGCUUUAGGACAAAACUUAAAGAGGAAAUGUUCCCUUAGUCAAAAGUAGCUCCAUUUGUGCUUGGCCAAAUCGGGUAAAAAAUUAAUUACACCUUCUCUCUUCCUUCUCCACUCCAUUUUCGUUUUUCUUCAACAACCAAACUUUCAAAAUGUUUCUUCCCACCUCCAAAANCGUGAACACACUCCAAGGAACCCCAUUUCAAGUUGCAACACCAUUCAAGAACAAUAAACCCACACUACUANUAAUUCAACCCAACCAAAUCUUCCAUUUCUUCAAUUUUCUUUGCAAAAAUGAAAAUAAUAUCUUAGCCAUCAAGUCCAGCUCUGUCCAGCCACAAUAACAACCCCAAAAUCUGGUUCCAUCCUUGCUUCAAACAUGAAAAACGAAAUUCAAGAAGAAAGAGCCCAAACCACAACNCCCACACAUCAAGUUAAGCUCUAUUCAACCCAAAACUCACAUAGAACUCCAUUUUUAUCAUCCAACCAAAUAAAAUGCAAAGAAAACCUAGAAGAACAGCAGCAAAGGAAGAGGAAAACGAAAUACAAAGUCACUCAAAACCAACAUCCACCAUGGAAAUGCAAAGACAAGCUCCAAAACUCAAACUCCAAGCAUCAAGAACAAGCAAAUGGAAGUGGAAAUGAAUGGUUUUUCACCACCAAUAAGCUAAGACAACCAAGAGUAAGUUAAGGGAAGAAGAAAAUCUGCAUCUUGCUCAUUGAAAUGGCCAAAACCGAGACACCCAAGUCAAGCUCUCCAUGAGAGUGUUCAUACAUGAAACCCUAGAAGAGAAAAGUUCAAAACAUGAAAAAUGAAGUGUGUAAGAGUGUCUAAAGUGUGUGGUCAGCCAAGGCUCUCUAAAAUGCUGAGAGUUGCCCUCCAAAUGGGGUCCACAAAAAAAUACAAACCCUAACCUAAAAGGCACAUGACCUACACAUGGGUGUUUUUUACAAAAUUGCCCCCAAAAGGGUCCAAAACACCUAAUUCUAAUUAAGGUUUCUAAAAAAAACGAAAUUACAACUUUAUAAAUGGAAAUGGCUAAAUGUUGAGUCUUAAAUGAUCAUGCCACCAUCCCUAAUGCUCCAAAUGAUGUUUCCCAAAAUUUCCCUGCAACCAAAAUACACUUAAUCAGCUCAGAAAACCCAAAUUAGCACAAUUAUGAAUUUCCGACCAAAUUAAGCAGAAUUCGGAAAACGGGGAAAUAACAGAGAAUUAAACACAAUUCCCUGGUUUAUUUAAGUGCAAUAAAAUAAAUAUAGUUCAAGAAAUAACCA